Long non-coding RNA from Astatotilapia calliptera (eastern happy), 1267 nucleotides. The record is from Ensembl. NCBI's taxonomy places the organism in Eukaryota, Metazoa, Chordata, Actinopteri, Cichliformes, Cichlidae.
GAAAACUGUCCCAUGUCGGCACUAAGCACUACUAAACACAACAUGGAAGAAACUGAUGUUGGUGAAAAUAUGGGGUUUUUUUUUGUUGUUGUUUUUUUUUUUGUAAAUUACCUUCCCUGUUAACACUUAAAUUAAUUGAUAUAUUAUUUCAUAAAUGUUUUAACAAAUAAUAUUGCACAGGUAUGGGUAUGUCUUUUAGUUUGAAGAUCAGCGUAUUUCAUGGCUAACGUAAUACAUCCGGUAGCCAGCUGAAUUUUAACGUCAUUUCUGCUGGUACGUGUGUAGCUACUGUAUUCCCGCAGCUAUAGUUCUAAUGUUAAAAGCUGCUGUCCUGCUGGUCAGCUGUUCUUCCUCUAUCGCGUGGAGCAUUGUGUGGAUACUGUCUGUUUAACCGGACAUCGGGGUCUCUGCUCUCUUGCAGCUGCUCCUUGCUCGCUGCAGAUCACAAUGACACCUGUGAACAUCAUAGUCCAUGGAGUAUCAUACUAUCACCACUGUAAACAAGAAAAGGUUAGAACCAUUUUGUUAUUCCACUCUUACCAGUCACCGUCUGUUCCUCCCAGUUCUUCAAGUACAUGUUUACCUUUGCCAUUUCAUUUUUUCCCCUGCACUUCCAUAUGUCCUUCCUCAUGUUAACAUCAUACCUAGCCAACACCUCAUCACCUUUAUUCCCUUUAUCUACAUGCCCAUUGAUGUAAGCUCCAGUCAUCACUCGUCUACCCAGGGACAUUUUUUGUUACUUCAUCCAACUUAAGCCUCGAUUAUGCUUUCCAUGUCCACAAGUCUGCUGCCUGGUUUUAAGUGACCUAAAUUUUAUAAUAAGAAAGUAAAGGUGGGGCUUCGUACCAGUUUCCCAUCUGUUCUUUGUGACCAAGCGGACUUGUCCAGAGAAUUUCUAUAACUGUGCACCAGCUACACGUGCCCAGGUGCUGAACUUCCAACCCAGUAUCAUCUCAAAGCAUGUAACAGACAUGCUGGUCCACCUUGUGGAUGUCACAUGAAAUGGACCCACAUACAGAAGUUGCAGUAAGCUGCAGUACAAGCCGUGGUGAUAUUUUAUUUCAAGCCAAUGUGAAAACAAAUGAUUAAAGAGAUAAAACUCAUACAUUUAAAUGUAAACAAAUAUCAGCCACCUAGCUUAAUCUUACCUGACAUAGAAGAAGCCUGAAAUGUAGUUCACGCCUUCCUUGGUCAGUAGUGACUUGCUGGCUGUAAAUAUUUAAUCUCCCCCUGGUGAAACUGCAGCUUCUGUAUGCGUGCUCUCCAG